This 77-nucleotide transfer RNA is filed under the name Actinomycetales bacterium. RNAcentral's name for it is "tRNA-Pro". It matches the Rfam family "tRNA". From Rfam's summary of the family: Transfer RNA (tRNA) molecules are approximately 80 nucleotides in length. Their secondary structure includes four short double-helical elements and three loops (D, anti-codon, and T loops). Lineage: Bacteria; Bacillati; Actinomycetota; Actinomycetes; Actinomycetales. The record is from RNAcentral.
CGGGGUGUGGCGCAGUUUGGUAGCGCACCUGCUUUGGGAGCAGGGGGUCGUGGGUUCAAAUCCCGCCACCCCGACCA